Molecule: non-coding RNA, 230 nt
Organism: Pelobates cultripes (western spadefoot toad)
Lineage: Eukaryota; Metazoa; Chordata; Amphibia; Anura; Pelobatidae
Source: the annotation of a GenBank genome assembly
UUUUUCUUGUUCUGAAUAAACACGGUAAAAUGUAGAAUUUCCCUGGACCAUGUGAAUAUGUCUUCAAACUAAAUAGUUUAUAGUGUAAAUAGAAAUGGAACAAUGAUAAAUAAUGCUGGUACAGUUCUUAAAAAUUCUUAAAGCAACACUCCUGCUACCAUAACAACUUCAUAUUAAAAAUAGUAUGAGUAUUUUUUAAUCUGUACUUGCAGCUGGUGGCUAGUUAUAGC